CCUACGGGCGGCAGCAGUGAGGAAUAUUGGUCCAUGGACGAGAGUCUGAACCAGCCAAGUAGCGUGAAGGAUGACUGCCCUAUGGGUUGUAAACUUCUUUUAUAUGGGAAUAAAACGUUCCACGUGUGGGAUUUUGUAUGUACCAUAUGAAUAAGGAUCGGCUAACUCCGUGCCAGCAGCCGCGGUAAUACGGAGGAUCCGAGCGUUAUCCGGAUUUAUUGGGUUUAAAGGGAGCGUAGGUGGAUUGUUAAGUCAGUUGUGAAAGUUUGCGGCUCAACCGUAAAAUUGCAGUUGAAACUGGCAGUCUUGAGUACAGUAGAGGUGGGCGGAAUUCGUGGUGUAGCGGUGAAAUGCUUAGAUAUCACGAAGAACUCCGAUUGCGAAGGCAGUUCACUGGACUGCAACUGACACUGAGGCUCGAAAGUGUGGGUAUCAAACAGGAUUAGAUACCCGAGUAGUC
Molecule: ribosomal RNA, 460 nt
Filed under: uncultured bacterium
Lineage: Bacteria
Description: partial 16S ribosomal RNA
Rfam family: Bacterial small subunit ribosomal RNA
Source: RNAcentral